AAUUAAUUAGUUUAUAAAAAAUUUAGUUUUGAAGAAACUAAGAAAAUUUAGUUA
Molecule: transfer RNA, 54 nt
Filed under: Meloidogyne enterolobii
Lineage: Eukaryota; Metazoa; Nematoda; Chromadorea; Rhabditida; Meloidogynidae
Description: tRNA-Phe
Source: RNAcentral